GAUGAACGCUGGCGGCGUGCCUAAUACAUGCAAGUCGAGCGAACAGACGAGGAGCUUGCUCCUCUGACGUUAGCGGCGGACGGGUGAGUAACACGUGGAUAACCUACCUAUAAGACUGGGAUAACUUCGGGAAACCGGAGCUAAUACCGGAUAAUAUAUUGAACCGCAUGGUUCAAUAGUGAAAGACGGUUUUGCUGUCACUUAUAGAUGGAUCCGCGCCGCAUUAGCUAGUUGGUAAGGUAACGGCUUAGCAAGGCAACGAUGCGUAGCCGACCUGAGAGGGUGAUCGGCCACACUGGAACUGAGACACGGUCCAGACUCCUACGGGAGGCAGCAGUAGGGAAUCUUCCGCAAUGGGCGAAAGCCUGACGGAGCAACGCCGCGUGAGUGAUGAAGGUCCUCGGAUCGUAAAACUCUGUUAUUAGGGAAGAACAAAUGUGUAAGUAACUAUGCACGUCUUGACGGUACCUAAUCAGAAAGCCACGGCUAACUACGUG
Molecule: ribosomal RNA, 497 nt
Filed under: uncultured bacterium
Lineage: Bacteria
Description: partial 16S ribosomal RNA
Rfam family: Bacterial small subunit ribosomal RNA
Source: RNAcentral